GGAUGAGCCCGCGGCCUAUCAGCUUGUUGGUGGGGUAAUGGCCUACCAAGGCGGCGACGGGUAGCCGGCCUGAGAGGGUGUACGGCCACAUUGGGACUGAGAUACGGCCCAGACUCCUACGGGAGGCAGCAGUGGGGAAUAUUGCACAAUGGGCGCAAGCCUGAUGCAGCGACGCCGCGUGGGGGAUGAAGGCCUUCGGGUUGUAAACUCCUUUCGCUAGGGACGAAGCUUUGUUGUGACGGUACCUAGAUAAGAAGCACCGGCCAACUACGUGCCAGCAGCCGCGGUAAUACGGAGGGUGCGAGCGUUAAUCGGAAUUACUGGGCGUAAAGCGCAUGCAGGUGGUUUGUUAAGUCAGAUGUGAAAGCCCGGGGUCAACUCGGA
RNAcentral lists this ribosomal RNA (384 nucleotides) under uncultured bacterium. RNAcentral describes it as "bacterial SSU rRNA". It matches the Rfam family "Bacterial small subunit ribosomal RNA", at positions 223 to 618 of the family's 1533-position model. The record is from RNAcentral.